AAUAAACCUAAAAGAAAAUGGAAAUUUUAGGGCAUUUUGUGUUAAAUGCCUAAUUUUGCCGAAAUGGGGAAUUUUAUUCCAUGAAUGGACCUUAGGUUAAAUUUUAUUAUGUGAUUAAUUAAAUUAAAUGUGAGAGACAUUUAAUUUAAUUAAUUAAUGUUAAGUUUGGUGAUUAAAACUUAAUAAGAGUGAAAAAAGGUGUCAAAAGUCAAUUUGGACUUUUCUUCUUAUAAACCUUUAUAAAAAAAAAAAAAAAAAAAAAAAAUUAAUGGUCACAUAUAUGGAAAAGGGUGGCUGGCCAUGUGCUAUUUUAGAGUGGUGUGAACCCAAUUUUAUAAAAUUCAAAUCCCAUUUAAUUAAGAAGUCAAGUGGGCAAGUGGGUAGAAAAGCACUCAAGUGUUUUGUGAUAUUUUGAAGAGUUGUGUGAGCCAUUCUAACCCCCAAAUCCGACCACUCUCCCUCCCUCAUUCACUCUCAUCUGAUUUUUGAAGACUCUCUCAAGUGUUCUCUCCAUUUUGAACCCCAAGAACACCAAAGAAACUUGGAAGCUAAGUCUUGGUCUAGGAAGGGUUUUCCCUAAGUUGGUUAGGGUUUUUGAAAGGUUUUGAAGGAGUCAAAGCUUAUAGGAAGGUCCAAACCUUAAGCAAGAACACCAAAGAGUAUUGGCUAAGCGUAACUGGACUGAACGUUGGAGGGUGAAAACCUGCUGAGCGCUAAGGACUCCAAGUCAGUGCAAGGGCAAGGCAGAGCAGUGAGCGCUGGAGUCUUCCUUGCAAAUGUAACCGCUAAGGAACUAAAAGAUCGAUCGUUCUCAGGGGUCGUCCUUAUUAUACUUCUCGCUUGAACCUGAGGUAAAGGGAAAGAAAAGCUCACCCAGCUGUGAGUGGAGAGCUUAGGUGGUGAUGUGUACAUAUGCGGCCGCUUGACCACCACGGCCAAGGCGUUCUUAGAGGAACUAGGGGGUUUACCCUAUGUUUGCUACUUAGGUUGGCGGGGUUGUAAAUUUGAAACAAUAAUGAACAUUUUGUACUGAGAACAACUUGUAAAUGUUUUGAUUAGCUCUGCAGAGCAGUUUGUAAUGAAAAUUAUCCAUUCCUUUUUAUUA
Humulus lupulus (European hop) is the source of this 1105-nucleotide long non-coding RNA. RefSeq lists it as uncharacterized. Lineage: Eukaryota; Viridiplantae; Streptophyta; Magnoliopsida; Rosales; Cannabaceae. The transcript has 6 exons. The record is from RefSeq and is a predicted model, not a curated record.